CAGUCGCCGCGGAAUACGUAGGGUGCAAGCGUUAAUCGGAAUUACUGGGCGUAAAGCGUGCGCAGGCGGUUAUAUAAGUCAGAUGUGAAAUCCCCGGGCUCAACCUGGGAACUGCAUUUGAGACUGUAUGGCUAGAGUGUGUCAGAGGGGGGUAGAACUCCACGUGUAGCAGUGAAAUGCGUAGAUAUGCGGAGGAAUACCGAUGGCGAAGGCAGCCCCCUGGGAUAACACUGACGCUCAGGCACGAAAGCGUGGGGAGCAAACAGGAUUAGAUACCCGUGUAGUCCCUGUCUCUUAUACA
Molecule: ribosomal RNA, 301 nt
Filed under: uncultured bacterium
Lineage: Bacteria
Description: partial 16S ribosomal RNA
Rfam family: Bacterial small subunit ribosomal RNA
Source: RNAcentral